AAUACCGGCGAAAGUCGGACUAAUACCGUAUGAUAUCCUAUGCAGGCAUCUAACUAGGAUUAAAGGUUUAGCGGUAAGGGAUGGGGAUGCGUCUGAUUAGGCAGUUGGCGGGGUAACGGCCCACCAAACCGACGAUCAGUAGGGGUUCUGAGAGGAAGGUCCCCCACAUUGGAACUGAGACACGGUCCAAACUCCUACGGGAGGCAGCAGCG
RNAcentral lists this ribosomal RNA (212 nucleotides) under uncultured Prevotella sp. RNAcentral's name for it is "partial 16S ribosomal RNA". It matches the Rfam family "Bacterial small subunit ribosomal RNA", at positions 144 to 356 of the family's 1533-position model. The record is from RNAcentral. Lineage: Bacteria; Pseudomonadati; Bacteroidota; Bacteroidia; Bacteroidales; Prevotellaceae.